RNAcentral lists this ribosomal RNA (440 nucleotides) under uncultured bacterium. Its description in RNAcentral is "partial 16S ribosomal RNA". It matches the Rfam family "Bacterial small subunit ribosomal RNA", at positions 338 to 795 of the family's 1533-position model. The record is from RNAcentral.
CCUACGGGAGGCAGCAGUGGGGAAUAUUGCACAAUGGGGGAAACCCUGAUGCAGCGACGCCGCGUGAGUGAAGAAGUAAUUCGUUAUGUAAAGCUCUAUCAGCAGGGAAGAAAAUGACGGUACCUGAGUAAGAAGCCACGGCUAACUACGUGCCAGCAGCCGCGGUAAUACGUAGGGGGCAAGCGUUAUCCGGAUUUACUGGGUGUAAAGGGAGCGUAGACGGCAGUGCAAGUCUGGAGUGAAAGGCGGGGGCUCAACCCUCGGACUGCAGUGGAAACUGGACGGCUUGAGUGCAGGAGAGGUAAGUGGAAUGCGUAGUGUAGCGGUGAAAUGCGUAGAUAUUAGGAGGAACACCGGUGGCGAAGGCGGCUUACUGGACUGUAACUGACGUUGAGGCUCGAAAGCGUGGGGAGCAAACAGGAUUAGAUACCCGAGUAGUC